AGGAGCACGGCGCGGGGAGCGGG
RNAcentral lists this non-coding RNA (23 nucleotides) under Cricetulus griseus (Chinese hamster). The record is from RNAcentral. Lineage: Eukaryota; Metazoa; Chordata; Mammalia; Rodentia; Cricetidae.